UAAGAAUAAAACUCAUUUAUUUAUUCCCUUUUUACAUAAGAAUAAAACUUACAUUUAGAGGACAAUCAACACAAGGUUCCUUUAUCCUCUUUUACCUUUCACGAUAAAUUGGAUAAACUCAGAGAAAAAAAGCAUUGAAAUUGAUUUUUAUUGGCCAAUCAGAAUUCUCUCCUGAGGUCUAUAAUUUAUAUUGGACCUUUUGAAUAACGAUCUGGAAGAUCUCAUGAAAAUUGAACAUUUGCGUAUAGAAGAUAUAAAACAGAUAUUGGUCAUUGAAAUUGAUUUUUAUUGACCAAUCAGAAUUCUCUCCCAAGGUCUAUAAUUUAUAUUGAACCUUUUGAAUAACAGUCCGGAAGAUCUCACGAAAAUUGAACAUUUGCGCGUAGAAGAUAUAAAACAGAUAUUGGUCAUUCUAGAAAAAUAUUUCGCGAUUGAUUUACCAAAAAAUGAGUUAAAUCUAUUAGAUUUUUUUCGUCUUUUUUUUUUAUUAAGAUGAAAAUAGGUUUUGAAUCUUUAGCACAAUUCAUAUAUUC
Molecule: long non-coding RNA, 533 nt
Filed under: Olea europaea subsp. europaea
Lineage: Eukaryota; Viridiplantae; Streptophyta; Magnoliopsida; Lamiales; Oleaceae
Source: RNAcentral